RNAcentral lists this ribosomal RNA (253 nucleotides) under uncultured bacterium. RNAcentral's name for it is "partial 16S ribosomal RNA". It matches the Rfam family "Bacterial small subunit ribosomal RNA", at positions 524 to 776 of the family's 1533-position model. The record is from RNAcentral.
UACGGGGGGGGCAAGCGUUGUUCGGAAUUACUGGGCGUAAAGGGCGCGUAGGCGGCCUACUAAGUCGGACGUGAAAUCCCUCGGCUCAACCGGGGAACUGCGUCCGAUACUGGUGGGCUUGAAUCCGGGAGAGGGAUGUGGAAUUCCAGGUGUAGCGGUGAAAUGCGCAGAUAUCAGGAAGAACACCCGUGGCGAAGGCGGCUCUCUGGGACGGUACUGACGCUGAGACGCGAAAGCGUGGGGAGCGAACAGG